UGGGCAACCUGCCCUUCUCAUCGGAAUAAGCGUUGGAAACGACGUCUAAUGCCGAAUACGACCUCCUUUCGCAUGAUCGGAGGUGGAAAGCUCCGGCGGAGAAGGAUGAGCUCGCGGCCUAUCAGCUAGUUGGUGUGGGUAAUGGCCCACCAAGGCGACGACGGGUAGCCGGCCUGAGAGGGUGACCGGCCACACUGGGACUGAGACACGGCCCAGACUCCUACGGGAGCAGCAGG
RNAcentral lists this ribosomal RNA (236 nucleotides) under uncultured bacterium. RNAcentral describes it as "partial 16S ribosomal RNA". It matches the Rfam family "Bacterial small subunit ribosomal RNA", at positions 118 to 354 of the family's 1533-position model. The record is from RNAcentral.